GGGGGCGUAAUGGUUUCGACGGGGAUGGAUUGGGCACGGUAAGCGAGCCGCAGACCGCCGGGGCUGCGUUAAAAACCGGCAAAUCAAAUAAUAACUGCGAAAAACGAAGUAGCUUUCGCGGCCUAAGCCGCGACGUUCUCCCUACAUGUCCCAUCGGGUAGGAUAGAACGCCAUUAGAUGGGGAACAGGUUAGGCUAAGCUUUGCGUCUAAACCGGUAAGAUGAAGCUACCAACUCCCUUCCCUCGCGGCAUCGAGGAAGGGAUGCGGGAAUUUGAUCGAGCCGCUGCGCUCGGAGAAAACCGUGAACAAACGUCUUCGGACAGGGGUUCGACUCCCCUCGCCUCCACCA
RNAcentral lists this transfer-messenger RNA (350 nucleotides) under Christensenella sp. MSJ-20. It matches the Rfam family "transfer-messenger RNA". Rfam says of the family: Bacterial tmRNA, also known as 10Sa RNA or SsrA, is named for its dual tRNA and mRNA-like properties. RNAcentral also lists the same sequence under 1 other name. The record is from RNAcentral. Lineage: Bacteria; Bacillati; Bacillota; Clostridia; Christensenellales; Christensenellaceae.